This is a long non-coding RNA of Antechinus flavipes (yellow-footed antechinus), 970 nucleotides long. RefSeq lists it as uncharacterized. The transcript has 4 exons. The record is from RefSeq and is a predicted model, not a curated record. Lineage: Eukaryota; Metazoa; Chordata; Mammalia; Dasyuromorphia; Dasyuridae.
CUUUAUUGUAGCUACAACCCGGCACAAAUGCAGGAGUCCAAAAAGAAUACAGCUCUGGGAGAACCUGGCAUCUUACCAAAAGUUUCCUGGCUCCUGCACGUACCAUAGAGCAGAGCAAAUAUUUUCCUGAGUGCUUCCAAGCGGCUGAGGGCAACCAGCAAGCAGGCUGAGACAGAGGCUCGCUUCACGAGGCCAGCAGAAGUCACUGGGGCUUCUGGGAGUGGGGUGGGGGAGGGAGGGUCCUGGCUCUGAGCCUCCCCCUCUCCCUUAGCCAUACGGUAGGGCGGAAGGUAGGGAGACCUUUCACCCACCUGGCCCUGGGGCUGGAGGUGGCUCCUUGUGGUUUGUGCGGAGGAAGGAUUAAGGCUAGAAACGCCUUCCUGGCCUUCUCCUCUUAUUGGGGAGAGGGUUACAGAGCCUGAUCCACACUGCGGAACGAUCUCCAAGUGGAAUACAAGAACAAGCAUAAAAAGCAGCCCCUGUCCUCAAGAAGCUCACGUUCUACUGGACAGGUGUGAAGAGGAGUCCCUGUCCUCAAGAAGCUGAAGUUCUGGUAGCAACUGGGGAAUGGCUGAACAAGUUGUGGUACAUGAAGAGUGAAUUAUAGAGAGACUGGAAGCAUGGAGGCCAAUUAGGAAGCUGUCACAAUCAUCCAUGGGAGAGGUGAUGAGGGCCUGGACGAAGGCCCAGACACUGACUGGGGCUGAAGCUAUUUAAAGAUGGAAAUUGCAAAGCUUGCAGUAGCAGUUGCAGCAGCAUCGCAGGAGGUAGGAGGAAACUGAGAGCUGGGCUCAGAGUCAGGAAGAACUCCCUUCUGGGCUCAGUCAAAAACUGACUUGUGUGAUCCUGGACAAGAAACAAACUCUCUGCCCUCCAGGCAACUCUCCAAGGGUAUAAGUUCUUGAAAAGUUGCAGAGCUACAGUAGUAAACUAGUUUUCCUUCACCAAGAACCCCUGUGAAAUCACAAAU